CCUACGGGAGGCAGCAGUGGGGAAUAUUGCACAAUGGGCGCAAGCCUGAUGCAGCGACGCCGCGUGAGGGAUGACGGCCUUCGGGUUGUAAACCUCUGUUAGCAUCGAAGAAGCGAAAGUGACGGUAGGUGCAGAGAAAGCGCCGGCUAACUACGUGCCAGCAGCCGCGGUAAUACGUAGGGCGCGAGCGUUGUCCGGAAUUAUUGGGCGUAAAGAGCUUGUAGGCGGUUGGUCGCGUCUGCUGUGAAAGGCCGGGGCUUAACUCCGGUUUUGCAGUGGGUACGGGCUAACUAGAGUGCAGUAGGGGAGACUGGAAUUCCUGGUGUAGCGGUGGAAUGCACAGAUAUCAGGAGGAACACCGAUGGCGAAGGCAGGUCUCUGGGCUGUAACUGACGCUGAGAAGCGAAAGCAUGGGGAGCGAACAGGAUUAGAUACCCUGGUAGUCCAUGCCGUAAACGUUGGGCACUAGGUGUGGGGGACAUUCCACGUUUUCCGCGCCGUAGCUAACGCAUUAAGUGCCCCGCCUGGGGAGUACGGCCGCAAGGCUAAAACUCAAAGGAAUUGACGG
Molecule: ribosomal RNA, 568 nt
Filed under: uncultured bacterium
Lineage: Bacteria
Description: bacterial SSU rRNA
Rfam family: Bacterial small subunit ribosomal RNA
Source: RNAcentral